AAAGUUGAAGACAAGAAAAAUGAAAUAUGUUUGUCUACGAAGCCUGUGUUCCAGCCCUUUUCAGGACAGGGUCACAGACUAGGAAGUGCCACACCAAAAAUUGUUUCUAAAGCAAAGAAUAUUGAAGUUGAAAAUAAAAAUAAUUUGUCUGCUGUUCCACUGAACAACUUGGAACCCAUUACUAAUAUACAGAUCUGGUUGGCCAAUGGAAAAAGGAUUGUCCAGAAAUUUAACAUUACUCAUAGUAAGCCAUAUCAAAGACUUCAUUGAAAAAUACCAAGGAUCUCAAAGAAGUCCUCCGUUUUCCCUGGCAACAGCUCUUCCUGUCCUCAGGUUGCUAGAUGAGACACUCACACUGGAAGAAGCAGAUUUACAGAAUGCUGUCAUCAUUCAGAGACUCCAAAAAACUGCAUCUUUUAGAGAACUUUCAGAGCACUGAUUUUUGAUAGACUAAGUGGAAAAUUUGCAGAGAAAUGAUGGUUGUAAGUGGACAUGCAAACCAAAAUUGGGGAUUGGAGAAGUCAGACUCACUAGACUUUUGGUUCGAGUACUAUUGAACUCUCUCCUGAUGAGAAGAUGUUUAGAUAAGUACAAGUUAAGAAAGUAGCAUAUGACUGGAAACUAUAUUCAGUGCACUUUCUCCAAAAGACUACCC
Molecule: long non-coding RNA, 655 nt
Filed under: Homo sapiens (human)
Lineage: Eukaryota; Metazoa; Chordata; Mammalia; Primates; Hominidae
Description: HSALNT0028802
Source: RNAcentral